UCCUUCUUAUCCUCUUUGUUUUCAUUCCUUCUUCUUCAUUUAGGCCGAGAGACAUCUUUGAAAAAAAAAAUUUGUCGGCGAGCUUUUUUGGUGAAUCAACACUCCUAUUCUCUUCCUCUCAUUCUCCUCAGCUUGGUGGCGAGGCUUCUUACAAGGAGAAAGAAACUGCAGACAAGUGAGCGUGUCUCAAGGAGAGACAACUGGUUCUGAAAGAUUUGCAUUGUGGCAUUUGGAUUUUGAUGGUGACAUCGGACUUCAGUUCGACACUGUAGUGUGGGGUUCCACGGUCUGGUCUAAUGGGAGGCGGCGUGGUCAACCCUGAGUUUACCCUGGUCAAGAGGUGCGCGGAGCCAUUGACAGGAGGUUCUUAUAUGUGAGAAACCCGGGGUCACCACAUAGAGAUCUCAGUGGCUAACACCAAGGAAGACAUCAUUUUUGAAUUUUAAAAGUCUUAAAAACACCUUCGUGGUCCCGUAGCUAGUUGCGACCGCGAUUAGCUUGGGAAUUGUUUGAAGCCAACCUGUAUUUUGAGCGGUGCUCAAUAUGUUGGAAAAUGCUACUUACAUGUACUAUUUAUAAAUCAUUUUGAUCUCUGUUAAUCUGUUGAAUACUUGGAACUUCUUUUAUAUGUUACUAUUAUUGUGGUAAUUACUAUUGGAAAUGUUGUACUACUCACUUAUAUCUAUGUUGGCACCACUCACUUUGCAACACAUAUUACUCACCAC
Molecule: long non-coding RNA, 725 nt
Organism: Dioscorea cayenensis subsp. rotundata (Guinea yam)
Lineage: Eukaryota; Viridiplantae; Streptophyta; Magnoliopsida; Dioscoreales; Dioscoreaceae
Exons: 3
Source: RefSeq, a predicted model, not a curated record